This 646-nucleotide ribosomal RNA is filed under the name Kurthia sp. Its description in RNAcentral is "bacterial SSU rRNA". It matches the Rfam family "Bacterial small subunit ribosomal RNA", at positions 73 to 706 of the family's 1533-position model. The record is from RNAcentral. Lineage: Bacteria; Bacillati; Bacillota; Bacilli; Caryophanales; Caryophanaceae.
GAGAAGCUUGCUUCUCUGAUUUAGCGGCGGACGGGUGAGUAACACGUGGGCAACCUGCCCUGUAGACUGGGAUAACUUCGGGAAACCGGAGCUAAUACCGGAUAAUUCUUUUAGCCUCAUGGCUUUAAGCUAAAAGGCGCUUCGGCGUCACUACAGGAUGGGCCCGCGGUGCAUUAGCUAGUUGGUGGGGUAACGGCCUACCAAGGCAACGAUGCAUAGCCGACCUGAGAGGGUGAUCGGCCACAUUGGGACUGAGACACGGCCCAAACUCCUACGGGAGGCAGCAGUAGGGAAUCUUCCACAAUGGACGAAAGUCUGAUGGAGCAACGCCGCGUGAGUGAUGAAGGUUUUCGGAUCGUAAAACUCUGUUGUAAGGGAAGAACAAGUGCGUUAGGUAAUGAACGCACCUUGACGGUACCUUAUUAGAAAGCCACGGCUAACUACGUGCCAGCAGCCGCGGUAAUACGUAGGUGGCAAGCGUUGUCCGGAUUUAUUGGGCGUAAAGCGCGCGCAGGUGGUUUCUUAAGUCUGAUGUGAAAGCCCACGGCUCAACCGUGGAGGGUCAUUGGAAACUGGGAGACUUGAGUGCAGAAGAGGAUAGUGGAAUUCCAAGUGUAGCGGUGAAAUGCGUAGAGAUUUGGAGGAA